ACAGCAGUCGCCACGGGAAUACAGAGGGUGCGAGCGUUAAUCGGAUUUACUGGGCGUAAAGCGUGCGUAGGCGGCUUCUUAAGUCGGAUGUGAAAUCCCUGAGCUUAACUUAGGAAUUGCAUUCGAUACUGGGAAGCUAGAGUAUGGGAGAGGAUGGUAGAAUUCCAGGUGUAGCGGUGAAAUGCGUAGAGAUCUGGAGGAAUACCGAUGGCGAAGGCAGCCAUCUGGCCUAAUACUGACGCUGAGGUACGAAAGCAUGGGGAGCAAACAGGAUUAGAUACCCGCGUAGUCCCUGUCUCUUAUAC
This 305-nucleotide ribosomal RNA is filed under the name uncultured bacterium. Its description in RNAcentral is "partial 16S ribosomal RNA". It matches the Rfam family "Bacterial small subunit ribosomal RNA", at positions 505 to 807 of the family's 1533-position model. The record is from RNAcentral.